GUGUGUGUGUGUGUGUGUGUGUAUGUAUGUAUAUAUAUAUAUAUAUAUAUAUAUAUAUGUGUAUUUAUAUAGAUACAUACACACACACACACAA
Pelobates cultripes (western spadefoot toad) is the source of this 94-nucleotide non-coding RNA. The record is from the annotation of a GenBank genome assembly. Lineage: Eukaryota; Metazoa; Chordata; Amphibia; Anura; Pelobatidae.